GCUUAGAGAGGGGUCAAUGUCCUAUCAGCUAGUUGGUAAGGUAAUGGCUUACCAAGGCUAAGACGGGUAGCCGGCCUGAGAGGGUGGUCGGCCACACUGGGACUGAGACACUGCCCAGACUCCUACGGGAGGCUGCAGUCGAGAAUCUUUCGCAAUGCCCGAAAGGGUGACGAAGCGACGCCGCGUGUGGGAAGAAGGCCUUCGGGUUGUAAACCACUGUCGGGAGUUAAGAAAUGUAAGGGUGUUAAUAGCAUCCUUACUUGACUAAGGCUCCGGAGGAAGCCACGGCUAACUCUGUGCCAGCAGCCGCGGUAAUACAGAGGCGGCAAGCGUUGUUCGGAAUUAUUGGGCGUAAAGAGCACGUAGGCGGCCUUGUAAGUCAGUUGUGAAAGCCUUCCGCUUAACGGAAGAACAGCAUCUGAUACUGCAAGGCUAGAGUGCGGAAGGG
This 448-nucleotide ribosomal RNA is filed under the name uncultured Planctomycetota bacterium. RNAcentral describes it as "bacterial SSU rRNA". It matches the Rfam family "Bacterial small subunit ribosomal RNA", at positions 217 to 656 of the family's 1533-position model. The record is from RNAcentral. Lineage: Bacteria; Pseudomonadati; Planctomycetota.